This is a long non-coding RNA of Perca fluviatilis (European perch), 2983 nucleotides long. RefSeq lists it as uncharacterized. NCBI's taxonomy places the organism in Eukaryota, Metazoa, Chordata, Actinopteri, Perciformes, Percidae. The transcript is spliced from 2 exons. The record is from RefSeq and is a predicted model, not a curated record.
ACAUACAUAUACAUACAUAUAUACAUACAUACAUACAGACACAUAUACAUACAUACAUACAGCUCAACUCAAAGAGGAGAAGACGCAGAGUCUAUCUCUUAUUUUCUAAUUGUUGACUUUUCUUACAAACAAAUGGCUACUGAUCACUAACGGUCAUCUCAGGAUAGAGAUGGAGAAGACUAGAAAUCUGCUGCAAGGAUUUUUUGUGCCAAUGAAAGUCCCUUUUGUACUCUCUUCUACUGUGUAAACGUGUAUUUUACUACUCUACUUUUCUUACAAUGAAGUUUGAGUUGUGUAAGCAGUUCUUCUUCUUAAAGGAUAAUCCACUGUUUUUUGGGAUCCCGCGCCUGUGUACUGUACCAACCGGCUCACCAGAGAGAGGUUUCAAGGUGCCGAUUUGUUUUCAAGCAUUCAAAUUAAAAUCAGGGGAAUCUUCUUGUCUCCUUUCAGUUCUAACCUUCAUUAAUAUGCAGAUUUCUAUCUUGAAUCAACCUCAGUAUGUCCGUAAUUAGUGCAUCUUUGUGCACAAUCGUACACUGGAGAUAUUCCGUUUUCUGUGCUGCUUAAAUGAGCAACAGAGCGACCCUGUGCUGUGCUUCCUUCAGCCUGCAGGAGGCAGACCAGAACGCCAAUCCCAUAUGCAUACAUCAUGCAUAGCAAAUCAAUUGGCAUCUUGAAACGUAAUUGUAAAUAUCCUUAUUGUAUAUAUAUCACCUUUUAUAAUUUAUUCCUUUUAAAAUAACCCAAUUGUUUAGUUUGCCCAUUGUUCAAACGUUAACGUUUAUGGUACUUUUAUGGGUUGAAUAACCUCUGACAAUAUCGAUAUAUGUUAUAGAGACGCUUUCACAUUACAAGUAUGUUGUUUCUGUGCACGUAUUUUUGUACAUUUUCAGUAUGACUUGAAUUGGUGUGGAGAACUGCUCCCUAUCCCCUGACUGACAACAGUUGUGAUCAUCUAGCAGCAUUACUCCUUCCCAUAAUACAAUCAAAACCACAAAUGUUUACAUUGUGAUAAUCUUCUAUCUAGUCAUUUUGGUGCUGCUUCAGAGGCGUGUGUGUGUGUGUGUGUGUGUGUGUGUGUGUGUGUGUGUGUGUGUGUGUGUGUGUGUGUGUGUGUGUGUGUGUGUGUGUGUGUGUGUGUGUGUGUGUGUGUGUUUGUGUGUGUGUGUGUGUGUGUGUGUGUGUGUGUGUGUGUUCAAUGGUUUGUCAUUGACGUCUCCAGCUUGUUCAUGAAGCACUACUCAUUAUGAUUACAUAACUCCAUACAGAAGAGGGGUGUGAGUGCCACCACGUUUGAUCUCCGUGUAACAUCCACUGUGUCCUGUGGACACAGGUUAUGUCACAAUUAAUGCAUUUAACCUGCAUGGGUGUAGUCGGGCUGUCUGGCAUUGUCCCCUUCUUUGUCUCAUUGGAUCCUCAUGAGCAAAAAGUGCACGAAAAAGAUCAUAUUGGAUGCAGCCUUGCUCACAAGCCAAGGACAUUUCCUUUUGGGUUCUGUGGGUCUUCUUGCUAUGCAGAUAUUUUUUUAAAUCUGUGAUAUUCCUAUAUAUAUAUAUACUCUUUUUCUACUGUAUCCAAUGGGGAUUUUCAGAUACAUAGCUCUUUGUUAAAUCCUACUGAAUCUUGUUCAAAUUUGAAAGUACGAACGUUUGAAUAAAAUUUGUAUAUUUCAGACCGUAUCCUAUGGUGUUUGAAUCAAUUUGGUCUCCAUAAUCAGGAAGAGCUGACUGAGUUUGUAUUUGAAGUGAAUCCGAAGUCUGUGAUCAAAGGUCAUAACCAAUAAUUGACCUGCUUUUUACUUUCAGUUGUCAGUUGCCUCAGAAAAGGUGAAAGUGAUCGUGAAUAUUGUGAACUAAAUCCACAAUUUGUUGAAAGUGGCCUUGCUAUUAUUACAGCAUAACUUCAUUCAAGUAGGAAUACUAUGUUUUUUGUUUUUUAAAUGCAGAAAGUCAAUGUGUUUAUAGUGAUAUGAACAUCGGAAAGAAAUCCAUGAAAAAAUUUUAGUCAUUUUUAAAUUUUGUUUUUCUUCAUCAACUGUGUAGUAUUGAGACACUGCCCAUGAUUGUGUCCACAGCUCAUAGAACAUUCUUAUCUUACCUACAUUACAUGAAAUAUUGUAUUUAUAUGUAAUCAUGUUUGCAAAUCCUAUUGUAACACAGUGCUGGAAGUACUCAACUACUAAAAUGUACGACUACUCAUGAUGCAGACACUUGUCUGUGUUAUAUUAUUACGUUAUAUGAAUUGAUUAUUAUUACUGAUGCAUUAACGUGUUAACAGCUUUUACAUGUUGGAACUGGUCGAGGUGGAGCUAAUUUCAACUACUUUGUAUAAUUGGGGUAGUUUAAUCGGUAGGCUUUUCGUUCGUUUUCUGUUUUUCUCUGAUUACAUGGUUUUGUAUGUAAAAUCUCCAUUUGCAGAGUAAACACUAAGCAUAGCUGUCACAUAAAGUAAAAAGUACAAUAUUUGCCUCUGAAAUGUGGAGUAGGAGUACAAAGUAGCUAUCAUAAAACGGGAAUAGUCAGGUAAUGUACAAGGACCUCAAAACUGUUUUAAUCCUAUUGCUGUUUGGGUUUCAUCUUUACCUCAGGACUUUUCCCAUGAGAAUUGCUUAUAGAUAUGAUUUUGAGCUGAUGAAAUGUUUCGGAAGUCGGAUACAAUAAAUUACGCAUUAGUUUAGUUUGGGGUCUCGGAGACCCCAGCUGUUAAACAUGGUUGAAUACAAUGGGUUUUCGUAUUGAUAGUGUUAUUAUUGUUAUUGUUUAUUUCCAAGUAGGUUUACAUAUACAAGAAAUUCGCUUUGGUGCAUAGGUGCAUAGACAAGAAACAUCAUUAUAGAAUAGAAGAAAAAAAAAUACAAUAUAAAUGUUAAAAAUGUAUAAAAUGAAAAUAUGUACAGUAAAUAUAGGCAGGAAUGUGCCAGGAUAUAUUCCAAGGGAUGUGCAAAGGUUCACAGUAAUUAACAAUAAAAAGAAUAUGCGAUGUA